Molecule: transfer RNA, 75 nt
Filed under: Candidatus Methanoculleus thermohydrogenotrophicum
Lineage: Archaea; Methanobacteriati; Methanobacteriota; Methanomicrobia; Methanomicrobiales; Methanomicrobiaceae
Description: tRNA-Arg
Rfam family: tRNA
About the family: Transfer RNA (tRNA) molecules are approximately 80 nucleotides in length. Their secondary structure includes four short double-helical elements and three loops (D, anti-codon, and T loops). Further hydrogen bonds mediate the characteristic L-shaped molecular structure. tRNAs have two regions of fundamental functional importance: the anti-codon, which is responsible for specific mRNA codon recognition, and the 3' end, to which the tRNAs corresponding amino acid is attached (by aminoacyl-tRNA synthetases). tRNAs cope with the degeneracy of the genetic code in two manners: having more than one tRNA (with a specific anti-codon) for a particular amino acid; and 'wobble' base-pairing, i.e. permitting non-standard base-pairing at the 3rd anti-codon position.
Source: RNAcentral
GGGCCUGUGGCUUAGCCAGGAUAUAGCGCCGGGCUUCUAACCCGGACGUCGAGGGUUCAAAUCCCUCCAGGCCCG